This 253-nucleotide ribosomal RNA is filed under the name uncultured bacterium. Its description in RNAcentral is "partial 16S ribosomal RNA". It matches the Rfam family "Bacterial small subunit ribosomal RNA", at positions 524 to 776 of the family's 1533-position model. The record is from RNAcentral.
UACAUGUGGGGCAAGCGUUGUUCGGAAUUACUGGGCGUAAAGGGCGCGUAGGCGGCCUUGUCAGUCAGGCGUGAAAGCCCCGGGCUCAACCUGGGAACGGCGCUUGGGACGGCGAGGCUGGAGUUCGGGAGAGGAGAGUGGAAUUCCCAGUGUAGAGGUGAAAUUCGUAGAUAUCAGGAGGAAUACCGAUGGCGAAGGCAGGUCUCUGGGCUAUAACUGACGCUCAUGCACGAAAGCGUGGGGAGCAAACAGG